RNAcentral lists this ribosomal RNA (103 nucleotides) under Phascolarctos cinereus (koala). The record is from RNAcentral. Lineage: Eukaryota; Metazoa; Chordata; Mammalia; Diprotodontia; Phascolarctidae.
GACCUUAACAAUACCACCCUGAACACUGGUCUUGGCAGUUAAGCAGGGUUGGAGGUAGUAAAUAAUCAGAUGGGAGACCACCUGGGAAUACCAGGUAUAGUAC